This 254-nucleotide ribosomal RNA is filed under the name uncultured bacterium. Its description in RNAcentral is "partial 16S ribosomal RNA". It matches the Rfam family "Bacterial small subunit ribosomal RNA", at positions 524 to 776 of the family's 1533-position model. The record is from RNAcentral.
UACGUAGGGUGCGAGCGUUGUCCGGAAUUAUUGGGCGUAACGAGCUCGUAGGCGGUGUGUCGCGUCGGCCGUGAAAACCUGGGGCUUAACUCUGGGCGUGCGGUCGAUACGGGCAUCACUGGAGUUCGGCAGGGGAGACUGGAAUUCCUGGUGUAGCGGUGAAAUGCGCAGAUAUCAGGAGGAACACCGGUGGCGAAGGCGGGUCUCUGGGCCGAUACUGACGCUGAGGAGCGAAAGCAUGGGUAGCGAACAGG